AUGCAUAGAUAUAACUCAGAACACCUAUUGCGUAGGCAGCUGUCUAUACUACAACUGACGCUGAGGCACGAAAGCGUGGGGAGCGAACAGGAUUAGAUACCCUGGUAGUCCACGCUGUAAACGAUGAUCACUCGUUGUUGGCUACUUAGUAGUCAGUGACCAAGGGAAACCGAUAAGUGAUCCACCUGGGGAGUACGUCGGCAACGAUGAAACUCAAAGGAAUUGACGGGGGCCCGCACAAGCGGAGGAACAUGUGGUUUAAUUCGAUGAUACGCGAGGAACCUUACCUGGGCUUAAAUGCUGGCUGCAUUGGAGGGAAACCUUCAUUUCCUACGGGACCGCCAGCAAGGUGCUGCAUGGUUGUCGUCAGCUCGUGCCGUGAGGUGUCGGGUUAAGUCCCAUAACGAGCGCAACCCCUAUCGCUAGUUGCCAGCAUGUAAUGGUGGGGACUCUAGCGAGACUGCCGGUGUAAACCGGAGGAAGGUGGGGAUGACGUCAAAUCAGCACGGCCCUUACGUCCAGGGCUACACACGUGUUACAAUGGCCGGUACAAAGAGCAGCCACCUGGCGACAGGGCGCUAAUCUCAAAAACCGGUCUCAGUUCGGAUCGAAGUCUGCAAUUCGACUUCGUGAAGGUGGAUUCGCUAGUAAUCGCGCAUCAGCCAUGGCGCGGCGAACCAGUUCCCGGGCCUUGUACACACCGCCCGUCAAGCCAUGGAAGUCGGGGGUACCUGAAGUCCGUAACCGA
RNAcentral lists this ribosomal RNA (748 nucleotides) under uncultured organism. RNAcentral's name for it is "bacterial SSU rRNA". It matches the Rfam family "Bacterial small subunit ribosomal RNA", at positions 686 to 1437 of the family's 1533-position model. The record is from RNAcentral.